GACGAACGCUGGCGGCGUGCUUAACACAUGCAAGUCGAACGGAAAGGCCUGCUUUCCCUUGUGGAUUGCGGGUACUCGAGUGGCGAACGGGUGAGUAACACGUGAGUGAUCUGCCCCCAACUUGGGUAUAAGCCUGGGAAACUGGGUCUAAUUCCCGAUAGGACUGCAGGGUGGUGCCUGUGGUGGAAAACGAUUUUCUAGUGGUUGGGGAUGAGCUCGCGGCCUAUCAGCUUGUUGGUGGGGUAAUGGCCUACCAAGGCGGCGACGGGUAGCCGGCCUGAGAGGGUGGACGGCCACAUUGGGACUGAGAUACGGCCCAGACUCCUACGGGAGGCAGCAGUGGGGAAUAUUGCACAAUGGGCGGAAGCCUGAUGGAGCGACGCCGCGUGGGGGAUGACGGCCUUCGGGUUGUAAACUCCUUUCGACCGCGAGGAAGCCACCUGGUUGGAAGGGUGGUGACGGUAGUGGUAGAAGAAGCACCGGCUAACUACGU
RNAcentral lists this ribosomal RNA (493 nucleotides) under uncultured bacterium. RNAcentral's name for it is "partial 16S ribosomal RNA". It matches the Rfam family "Bacterial small subunit ribosomal RNA", at positions 28 to 506 of the family's 1533-position model. The record is from RNAcentral.